Phascolarctos cinereus (koala) is the source of this 547-nucleotide long non-coding RNA. RefSeq lists it as uncharacterized. Lineage: Eukaryota; Metazoa; Chordata; Mammalia; Diprotodontia; Phascolarctidae. The record is from RefSeq and is a predicted model, not a curated record.
CUGCUGCUAUUCUGGUCUACAAGAGACCAGAGCAGCGUCAGGUGCCUGCUACAUCUGUAGGUCCCUUUUGUAAGCCCCUGAGAGAUAACUGCCAUUUGAAUGAAUAACACAGCAAGAACAUGUGAUUGUGUAUCUUUUAUCUCUGGUGCUUUCUCACCCAGAUGCCCAGAAAGAAAAAAGCAGCCAAGUGUGCUAAAAGAAACAACAGAAAAACAGAGCAAGAAGAUAAGUCUUCCAAAAGUGGGAUGGACCACCUCCAGACAUAGGAAGCUUCCUGUCAUUGGACAUACUAGAACAUGGUACAUACCUUACAGAAGUCAAAGGGAGGAGGAUGGUGAGGACUUGCAAAGCUGCUGGCAAUACGUGGAACUGGAGCAACUGAAUCAUAAGAAGUUGGUUCUCAGGCACCUGUUAGGCAUGUAACGUGCUUGGACCAUGAUGCCCUGCUGAAGGGAGAGACAAAGUUCAGCAAAGCCCCAGUCUCUGCCAAUAUGGUGCUCCCAAUCCGAUGAAGAAACUGAGGCUUAAGAAACUUGCCCAGGUCACA